RNAcentral lists this ribosomal RNA (460 nucleotides) under uncultured bacterium. Its description in RNAcentral is "partial 16S ribosomal RNA". It matches the Rfam family "Bacterial small subunit ribosomal RNA", at positions 338 to 795 of the family's 1533-position model. The record is from RNAcentral.
CCUACGGGAGGCAGCAGUGAGGAAUAUUGGUCAAUGGUCGAGAGCCUGAACCAGCCAAGCCGCGUGAGGGAGGAAGGCACUGGGUAUCGUAAACUUCUUUUGUAGGGGAAUAAAGAAUGGUACGCGUCCCCGGAUGCGUGUACCAGAAGAAUAAGGAUCGGCUAACUCCGUGUCAGCAGCCGCGGUAAUCCGGAGGGUCCGAGCGUUAUCCGGAUUUAUUGGGUUGAGAGGGUGCGUAGGGGGGGCGUUAAGUCCGGCGUGAAAGCUCAGGGCUUAACCCUGGUACUGCCGUUGAAACUGGGAGUCUCGAGUAGGGGAGAGGUAGGCGGAAUUCGUGGUGUAGCGGUGAAAUGCGUAGAUAUCACGAAGAACUCCGAUUGCGAAGGCAGCAUGCUGGAUCGAAACUGACGCUGAGGCUCGAAAGCGUGGGUAUCAAACAGGAUUAGAUACCCGAGUAGUC